Molecule: long non-coding RNA, 1598 nt
Organism: Triticum aestivum (bread wheat)
Lineage: Eukaryota; Viridiplantae; Streptophyta; Magnoliopsida; Poales; Poaceae
Exons: 3
Source: RefSeq, a predicted model, not a curated record
GGUUCACGAGUUCGCGUGGUCACAGACUCGCAGUCCUCUAUGGCGGCGAUCGAUGGCCGGGAGCGACGACUCGAUCGUACUUGGGUCUGAUCGGUGUCUUUCUGUUUGGUUGUUCGAUGAGGAGGGGACGAUCGUGCUUGGUUAACCGCUCGAUCAAGAUGACGAGGGGACGAGCAGGCGGAGAGAGUCCCGGACCGCGUGCCGAUUCAAGUCGAGGCAAAUAGGGAUCUGGCUGUUUGGCUGUUCAGUGAAGGAGAUCGUCCACUGGGAUUUGAAGGAGGCAAUAAUUUUCUAUUUCUAGAGGCAUUCAUGACGGAUUUUGUGCGCCACUCACGGAGAUUAAUUGAGAUCCAAUCGCGGGGCGGUUCGAGCACUGGUGAGGCUACGCGAUUCGGAUCUACUUUGAUGAGGGGACGCUGCCAUAGGACACAUGCGAUGGCCGGCAAGAGGAAGCGUGGAGCACCGGCCCAAGGAUGAGUUGGGGAUGCUGGUCGGCGGUGGCCAGAUGACGCUGGUUGGCGGAUAGAAAACAACACUGGGAUAGGGCAGCCAACCAAAGGCAUGGAUGUUGUUGGCAGCCACAAGGAGCUAGAGUCCAUCGGGUGGUGCCUCUUGCCCAGUCACCAACGAUGAAAGCAAGCUACAAUACCAGCUUGCUCAGCCAAUGGAUCCCGCGGCCAUCAUUGGACAUAAACUCAUAUUCUUGAGCCUUUAGUUCUCUCCUCUCCCAGCUUGCACUCGCGAUUGGUCGAAGAGCAGCUCCAGCUUCCAUGGUGGAUAUUUAUGCAAGGCUGGCCAUCUCUGUUUGUAAAUCUUGAGGCUCACCCCAUUAUUGGUCCAUCAGGUUUUUUCAAAGCCUCCCAUGGUUGCCCUUACAUUUCUGAUUUUGGUAAAUUGAGUACUCAAUGCAAUUAUAGAGUGAAGAGGGAGUGCUAACUAUAUUAUUGUUUGUUCAGCAACUCCAGAAUGUAUUAUAGCGUUCAUGCACUAUUUAUGGCAGAUCUCUAUAUUGCCCAUCAGAUGCUUGUCGGGAUGUCUCAAUUGUCUAACAAACCGUAAGGUUCUGGAAGGAUUUUAUUUCACCCUUAUAGAACAGUUUUGAGCUAUCUACGGCAAUGUUUUGGUUGUUGCUCAGAUAAUUCAUAUGUGAAGAUAUUUUCAUAGGUUCUGAGCUAUAUGUUAAUAUGCUCUUUACAAUGCCUCCAAUUUCUGGAAGUAUCAAAGGUUUGCUUACAUUAGGCAACACUUCUACAAUUCGUUCCUCAAAGUUUAUCUCAAAUGUAAGUGUAUACGUUUUGUUUAGAUGCAGAAUCUAUGGAGUUUGAUUCAGAUGGUAUUGCCAAUGCUUAUUAAUUGUUUCUACAACUUAUUUUGGGUAAACCUAAUGGUUCAGUUACAAAAAUAUCUGAUUAAUCUUUCUUGAAGGCAUUUCCCUACUAUAUAGUAUGUGUGACACUGUGUGUAUUAUUAGUGAAGAGUGGGUUUUUUCAGGGAAUGGAGAGUGGUUUUUUUCGGGGAUGGAGAGUGAUUAUUUGUUAUGACAUGUCAAGCAUCGGUCAAGAUUUUACUAAGGCAUUAUGCAUUAAUUGUACACUGUU